This 881-nucleotide ribosomal RNA is filed under the name Boeremia exigua var. exigua. Its description in RNAcentral is "partial large subunit ribosomal RNA". It matches the Rfam family "Eukaryotic large subunit ribosomal RNA", at positions 68 to 967 of the family's 3401-position model. Lineage: Eukaryota; Fungi; Ascomycota; Dothideomycetes; Pleosporales; Didymellaceae. The record is from RNAcentral.
ACAGGGAUUGCCCUAGUAACGGCGAGUGAAGCGGCAACAGCUCAAAUUUGAAAUCUGGCGUCUUUGGCGUCCGAGUUGUAAUUUGCAGAGGGCGCUUUGGCAUUGGCAGCGGUCCAAGUUCCUUGGAACAGGACGUCACAGAGGGUGAGAAUCCCGUACGUGGUCGCUAGCCUUUACCGUGUAAAGCCCCUUCGACGAGUCGAGUUGUUUGGGAAUGCAGCUCUAAAUGGGAGGUAAAUUUCUUCUAAAGCUAAAUACUGGCCAGAGACCGAUAGCGCACAAGUAGAGUGAUCGAAAGAUGAAAAGCACUUUGGAAAGAGAGUUAAAAAGCACGUGAAAUUGUUGAAAGGGAAGCGCUUGCAGCCAGACUUGCCUGUAGUUGCUCAUCCGGGUUUUUACCCGGUGCACUCUUCUAUAGGCAGGCCAGCAUCAGUUUGGGCGGUUGGAUAAAGGUCUCUGUCACGUACCUCCUCUCGGGGAGAACUUAUAGGGGAGACGUAAUGCAACCAGCCUGGACUGAGGUCCGCGCAUCUGCUAGGAUGCUGGCGUAAUGGCUGUAAGCGGCCCGUCUUGAAACACGGACCAAGGAGUCUAACAUCUAUGCGAGUGUUUGGGUGUCAAGCCCGAGCGCGUAAUGAAAGUGAACGGAGGUGGGAACCUUUCGGGGUGCACCAUCGACCGAUCCUGAUGUCUUCGGAUGGAUUUGAGUAAGAGCAUAGCUGUUGGGACCCGAAAGAUGGUGAACUAUGCUUGAAUAGGGUGAAGCCAGAGGAAACUCUGGUGGAGGCUCGCAGCGGUUCUGACGUGCAAAUCGAUCGUCAAAUUUGGGCAUAGGGGCGAAAGACUAAUCGAACUAUCUAGUAGCUGGUUCCUGCCGAGUU